GUCUGUCUGUCUGUCUGUGUGCUCUGAUCAGAUCUCCUGUGUGGAGCAACACUGGUGUGAAACUGACGUUCCACAUUCCCAGUGCCGAUAAUAAAGGCGUGGUCAAAGUAUGUGUUCUCCUCCCAGACGGUAGUUGCCAUGGCAAUGCUACAAUCACCUACCGGUCAUCCCCAUCCUGCACCCACAUUGUACCAAGCAGCACCUGGAUCAGUGGGAAGAGGAAGAUCACACUCAUGGGAUCCCACCUGGAGUUUGUGGAAGGGGUCAUGCACAGCCGGUCAGGCACAGAAGUCAGACUUUCCAGAAACAGGAACAAUCAGAGUCUCAUCUAUGACACACCUGCAGCUGAAAAAGGGAUUUCUACUAGCACUGUGUUUCUGAAAGUAGCCAAUGAAACCUUGGCCUGCCUACCAAUGACCUACUAUCCAGAGCCUGAGUUCACUAGCUUCACAUCCACAAGGACAGGGGACGAUGUGCGCAUCACCAUACAGGUAAUGCAUAUUUAUAGCACACAUGCACAAAUAUAGGACAUGAAUACAUAAAAGGUCAGUGUUUGUUUCGGUUUUUAUUUCAGAAAAAGGCAGACAAACUGGAGAUGACCAUAGCAGAGUUGGAGGUGUGGGGCGUUGAGGAAGAAAAAAAACACCCCUGCAUCAUGGUAACCAAAGAAACCAGUAAUGAGACUGACUUUUUCAUCUGUGAGAUUCAAAGGACAGCCAACGCUAACUUUCAGCAGUUAAUGGUAAAUCUUUCAGCCACA
RNAcentral lists this long non-coding RNA (760 nucleotides) under Sander lucioperca (pikeperch). RNAcentral's name for it is "lncRNA (ENSSLUG00000015285.1)". The record is from RNAcentral. Lineage: Eukaryota; Metazoa; Chordata; Actinopteri; Perciformes; Percidae.